RNAcentral lists this long non-coding RNA (230 nucleotides) under Linum usitatissimum (flax). RNAcentral describes it as "long non-coding RNA (LUSI_LNC000355)". Lineage: Eukaryota; Viridiplantae; Streptophyta; Magnoliopsida; Malpighiales; Linaceae. The record is from RNAcentral.
AAUGGUGGAAUGGAUGGGGAGAAUGCAAAUGGUGUAAUUGAAAACGGUGAGAACUCAAGCAAGGAAAAGGGAAGUGAUGUGAUGGCAUUCGAUGAUGCUGUUAUAGCAAACCUCCAAAUGCAGUUUGAGAAAGUUGCAGCUGAAGUUGGUAUGGAUAACAGAGCUGGAAGCCCUCUCGAGCUCGGUGAAGUGGAAGGCAAUGGUCAUUUACCCAAGAAGAGGAAGAGAUC